UGGCUCUCGCAACGAUGAAGAACGCAGCGAAAUGCGAUAAGUAAUGUGAAUUGCAGAAUUCAGUGAAUCAUCGAAUCUUUGAACGCACCUUGCGCCUUUUGGUAUUCCGAAAGGCACACCUGUUUGAGUGUCAUGAAUCUCUCAACCCAACAAUUUUUAAUUGUGUGUGGCUUGGAUGAUGAGUGUUGCUGAGACUUCAGCUCGCUUCAAAUGUAUUAGCCCUCUCCUCUAUACUUGGAUUGACUUGGCGUGAUAAUUAUUCGUCAAGGAUGCUUUCAAUAGCAGCCAAACAUAGUGGGGUAGCUUCAAACCUGCCUUUGUGCAUCAUUACUUUAGACCUCAAAUCAGGUGGGACUACCCGCUGA
This 365-nucleotide unclassified non-coding RNA is filed under the name uncultured fungus. Its description in RNAcentral is "partial contains 5.8S ribosomal RNA and internal transcribed spacer 2". The stretch from base 1 to 133 matches the Rfam family "5.8S ribosomal RNA", at positions 22 to 154 of the family's 154-position model. Lineage: Eukaryota; Fungi. The record is from RNAcentral.